AGAGUUUGAUCAUGGCUCAGGAUGAACGCUGGCGGCGUGCUUAACACAUGCAAGUCAAGGGGGCUCAGCAAUGGGCAACCGGCGAACGGGUGCGUAACACGUGAGCAACCUACCGAAUUGUGGGGGAUAGCCGGCCCAACGGCCGGGUAAUACCGCAUACGAUCGAGACGAGGCAUUUCGACUCGAUGAAAUCUACGGAGCAAUUCGAGGGGCUCGCGGCCUAUCAGCUAGUUGGUGAGGUAACGGCUCACCAAGGCGACGACGGGUAGCUGGUCUGAGAGGAUGGCCAGCCACAUUGGGGCUGAGAGACGGCCCAGACUCCUACGGGAGGCAGCAGUGGGGAAUCUUGCGCAAUGGGAGCAAUCCUGACGCAGCGACGCCGCGUGGGGGAGGAAGGGCUUCGGCUCGUAAACCCCUGUUGCCCGGGGCGAACCUCUGGUUUCGACCAGACUGACGGUACCGGGUGAGGAAGCACCGGCUAACUCCGUGCCAGCCGCCGCGGUAAUAC
This 508-nucleotide ribosomal RNA is filed under the name uncultured bacterium. Its description in RNAcentral is "bacterial SSU rRNA". It matches the Rfam family "Bacterial small subunit ribosomal RNA", at positions 8 to 526 of the family's 1533-position model. The record is from RNAcentral.